AGUGAACGCUGGCGGCAGGCCUAAUACAUGCAAGUCGAGCGGCAGCACAGCAGAGCUUGCUCUGUGGGUGGCGAGUGGCGGACGGGUGAGGAAUACAUGGGAAUCUGCCCAGUCGUGGGGGAUAACGUAGGGAAACUUACGCUAAUACCGCAUGCGCCCUUCGGGGGAAAGCCGGGGACCUUCGGGCCUGGCGCGAUUGGAUGAGCCCAUGUCGGAUUAGCUAGUUGGCGGGGUAAUGGCCCACCAAGGCGACGAUCCGUAGCUGGUCUGAGAGGAUGAUCAGCCACACUGGAACUGAGACACGGUCCAGACUCCUACGGGAGGCAGCAGUAGGGAAUAUUGGACAAUGGGCGCAAGCCUGAUCCAGCCAUGCCGCGUGAGUGAAGAAGGCCCUCGGGUUGUAAAGCUCUUUUGUCCGGAAAGAAAAGCGCCGGGUUAAUACCCUAGUGUCCUGACGGUACCGGAAGAAUAAGCACCGGCUAACUUCGUGCCAGC
RNAcentral lists this ribosomal RNA (495 nucleotides) under uncultured bacterium. RNAcentral's name for it is "bacterial SSU rRNA". It matches the Rfam family "Bacterial small subunit ribosomal RNA", at positions 29 to 512 of the family's 1533-position model. The record is from RNAcentral.